CUACGAAAGGUGCAAGCGUUGUUCGGAUUUACUGGGCGUAAAGAGAUCGUAGGUGGUUUGUUAAGUCGGAUGUGAAAUCCCGGGGCUCAACCCCGGAACUGCAUCCGAUACUGGCAGGCUAGAGUUUGGGAGGGGUAAGCGGAAUUCCGUGUGUAGCAGUGAAAUGCGUAGAUAUACGGAGGAACACCUGAGGCGAAGGCGGCUUACUGGACCAAUACUGACACUGAGGAUCGAAAGCGUGGGUAGCAAACAGGAUUAGAAACCCGAGUAGUCC
RNAcentral lists this ribosomal RNA (274 nucleotides) under uncultured bacterium. Its description in RNAcentral is "partial 16S ribosomal RNA". It matches the Rfam family "Bacterial small subunit ribosomal RNA", at positions 523 to 796 of the family's 1533-position model. The record is from RNAcentral.